UUGGUUUUAUCUUAAUCUUAACAAUAAAGGAUCUUGGUAUUUUAGAAAUGCGAUCUCUUGCAUGCAGUUUGAAUUAAAAUAGUUUAAAUUUCUUUACUUUUCAUUGCGUGAUUUUCUUCAGAGGAUUCCUCAGUUCCUAAGGGAGCGGUUACCAGGGCUCCACUAUCGAGUCCUUUGUGGAGGCCCGACUCUGUUGCAUCAUAGAGUACAGGGCCUCAGAGACCU
RNAcentral lists this long non-coding RNA (225 nucleotides) under Elaeis guineensis (African oil palm). Its description in RNAcentral is "long non-coding RNA (EGUI_LNC073342)". The record is from RNAcentral. Lineage: Eukaryota; Viridiplantae; Streptophyta; Magnoliopsida; Arecales; Arecaceae.